CUGCAGACCCCCACAGAGGGCUCCAGUCAGGGUGAGUGGGGGGCACUGGUUUGGACUGGUCUGGACUGGUGUGGACUGGUUUAGACUGGUUUGGACUGGUCUGGACUGGUUUAGACUGGUUUGGACUGAUCUGGACUGGUUUGGACUGGUGUGGACUGGGGGCGGGGGGGCACACUUGUUUGGACUGGUCUGUACUGGUUUGUACUGGUCUGCAUUGGUCUGUACUGUACUGGUCUGUACUGUACUGGUCUGUACUGGUUUAUAGUGGUUUAUACUGGGCCUUACUGGUUUAUACUGGUCCACACUGGUUUAUACUGGUUUAUACUGGUUUAUACUGGUCUCUGUGCCCCCCCAGAGUUGCAGACGGGCCCCCCCACCCCAGACCCUGCCAGCACCGAGAGCAGCGGGAUGGCCUGGGCGUCCCCCAGUGAGUGUCCCCAAACGUCCCCAAAAUGUCCCUAAAUGUCCCCAAAUGUCCCCAAAUGUCCCCAAACAUCCCCAAAAUGUCCCCAAAUGUCCCCAAAAUGUCCCUAAAUGUCCCCAAAUUGUCCCCCCCAGGCCCAUCGACCACGGAGGAGGACCCGGCGCCAAAGGCGGUGACAGAGUGCGGUGUGUGGGGUCGGGGGUUACGGGG
Molecule: long non-coding RNA, 634 nt
Filed under: Anser cygnoides (Swan goose)
Lineage: Eukaryota; Metazoa; Chordata; Aves; Anseriformes; Anatidae
Description: lncRNA (ENSACDG00005008051.1)
Source: RNAcentral